This 465-nucleotide ribosomal RNA is filed under the name uncultured bacterium. RNAcentral describes it as "partial 16S ribosomal RNA". It matches the Rfam family "Bacterial small subunit ribosomal RNA", at positions 338 to 795 of the family's 1533-position model. The record is from RNAcentral.
CCUACGGGUGGCAGCAGUGGGGAAUAUUGCGCAAUGGGCGAAAGCCUGAAGCAGCGACGCCGCGUGCGGGAUGAAGGUCUUCGGAUCGUAAACCUCUGUCAGCAGGGAAGAACGGUCACUGUGCUAAUCAGCAGUGAAUUGACGGUACCUGCAAAGGCAGCAUCAGCUAACUCCGUGCCAGCAGCCGCGGUAAUACGGAGGGUGCGAGCGUUAAUCGGAAUUACUGGGCGUAAAGCGAUCGUAGGCGGUAUGUCAAGUCAAGGGUGAAAUCCCCGGGCUCAACGUUGGAACUGCCUUUGAAACUGGCAAACUUGAGUGGAUGAGAGGAGAGUGGAAUUCCAGGUGUAGGAGUGAAAUCCGUAGAUAUCUGGAGGAACAUCAAUGGCGAAGGCGACUAACUGGCACAUAACUGACGCUGAGGAGCGAAAGCGUGGGUAGCAAACAGGAUUAGAUACCCCAGUAGUC